GUCGUUCUUUUACAAAGAGGGGUGGAGGUUGUUGUUGCCUUUUUUUUUUUUUUUCCUUUAUGAAUGGAGGGCGGCGGCGACUGCUGCAGCUGGCUCAGCUGCGCGGGCUGUACCCCCUCCCAGCCUGCGAGAGGAGGAAGCUAGAGGAGGACCUGCACCAACAAAACCAAGGCGUAAAUCAAGAGAGUAGACACCAUGGAAAUAACUGCAUGGCGCUCAGAAAUCUCACCUCCUCCUGGAAGCCUUGGGCCAGACAGUGGAAGAAUAAUGGUGAUUUUCUUGGCAUACAACCCCUCCCCA
This is a long non-coding RNA of Lagenorhynchus albirostris (white-beaked dolphin), 300 nucleotides long. RefSeq lists it as uncharacterized. The transcript has 3 exons. Lineage: Eukaryota; Metazoa; Chordata; Mammalia; Artiodactyla; Delphinidae. The record is from RefSeq and is a predicted model, not a curated record.